This 253-nucleotide ribosomal RNA is filed under the name uncultured bacterium. RNAcentral describes it as "partial 16S ribosomal RNA". It matches the Rfam family "Bacterial small subunit ribosomal RNA", at positions 524 to 776 of the family's 1533-position model. The record is from RNAcentral.
UACGUAGGGUGCGAGCGUUAAUCGGAAUUACUGGGCGUAAAGCGUGCGCAGGCGGUUCGUUAAGUCAGAUGUGAAAGCCCCGGGCUCAACCUGGGAACUGCAUUUGAAACUGGCGGGCUUGAGUAUGGCAGAGGGGGGUGGAAUUCCGCGUGUAGCAGUGAAAUGCGUAGAGAUCGGAAAGAACACCAACGGCGAAAGCACUCUGCUGGGCCGACACUGACACUGAGAGACGAAAGCUAGGGGAGCGAAUGGG